Molecule: non-coding RNA, 30 nt
Filed under: Rattus norvegicus (Norway rat)
Lineage: Eukaryota; Metazoa; Chordata; Mammalia; Rodentia; Muridae
Source: RNAcentral
UGGGACACAACAUUCAGUCUAAUACAAACC